Long non-coding RNA from Trichoplusia ni (cabbage looper), 1268 nucleotides. RefSeq lists it as uncharacterized. The transcript is spliced from 2 exons. The record is from RefSeq and is a predicted model, not a curated record. Lineage: Eukaryota; Metazoa; Arthropoda; Insecta; Lepidoptera; Noctuidae.
UUUGGUGAUGGCACUAUAAUUGACCUCUAACAUCUCUACAUACUAACAAUUCUAAUUAGUACGAAGUCUUUAACUAAUCCCCUUCGUCUGUUCGUUUACAGUUUCUCGCCGGCUUCCACUCCCGAAUCGAACAAGGCAUUCAUGGCUCAGAUGAACCAAGGUGACGUGAUGAGGCAAGCUUUCCCACCGAACGUGGAAUCGAAGGCCGCCGAGGCGAACACGGCCGCCGAGCCGGUGGUCCCGAAGACGGAGUCCGAGUCGGCAUGAUUAACGCCCACCUGUGACCCCAUCGCCUACGACUUCGUGCCCGCCGACCGGCUCUACAGGAUCUUCACGCAGCACUCGUACUUCAACGAGAACCUCGUCUUCCAGAUGAGGUACAAUAAAGUCUGGUGCCGUUAACUUAUAACUGCGUGUUUCGUACUUGUAUUGUGUUUUGUGUGGAAAGGAUGUUUUUGAUCGUGUCGCUACUGUGUGUUUUACGUAUUGCUAAAAUAUUACCUCUCUAGGAUUUGAUGUCAAUUUUUGGGGAUAUAAAUUAUCAAAAACAGUUUUUUCGCACCAAUUGUGUCAUAUUAAGACUUUCUUGAAAUAAUCCUAGCAUGCGUAAAUUGAAAGUAGUUUUUUCUCAGAUUUCUAAUUGUAGUUCAAUCAGGGUCAAAAAUUCAAAUGAAAUAAAAAAGAAACCAUAAUCAAUAUCAGUCAUUUUUCACAUUUUUAUUGAAUAAAUUGAUUGAAUAUUGAAACGCCGCUCACAUUGUCAUACGACACAGGCAGCUUAUUCGUGUGUGUGUGUAGUGUGUUUCAAUAUCCGGUGUAAUUUCUAUUUGACACAAUCGCUGGGGGUAAUAAAUAUAGCCAUCAUUGGGGUAAAAUCUGUGUGGUAUAGUCGCGGUAAUAUUGAAAAAGAAAUGUGCUGUGACAUUUCUUUUUCAAUAGUUAUGUGACACUGUCCUUUCUAUUAUAAAACAUAGUACAACAGGUAUAGGAGGUGUCGUGGAAAUGACUUGAAUGAUAAUAAAAUUAUUGAAAUGAUUUUGAUUUUAUGUGUAUGAAAAAAAAAUGAUUUCAAAUUAUGAAUUUGAAGAGUUUAAACAAAAUGAUCUGAUUUUACAACGAUUUAUUCGAAUAUUUAAAUUUUAUAGUAAUUUUGUUUAAUAUUUUAAUUACUAAUAAAUUUUAAGUCAUUUCACGACACCACCUAACCUCGAUAUAUCGGCGCUCCUCACACCGACCUGAAUUCGAUUAAACGGACGUAUUAUAAAAAA